GACGAACGCUGGCGGCGUGCCUAAUACAUGCAAGUUGAGCGCUGAAGGUUGGUACUUGUACCAACUGGAUGAGCAGUGAACGGGUGAGUAACGCGUGGGGAAUCUGCCUUUGAGCGGGGGACAACAUUUGGAAACGAAUGCUAAUUCCGCAUAAAAACUUUAAACACAAGUUUUAAGUUUGAAAGAUGCAAUUGCAUCACUCAAAGAUGAUCCCGCGUUGUAUUAGCUAGUUGGUGAGGUAAAGGCUCACCAAGGCGAUGAUACAUAGCCGACCUGAGAGGGUGAUCGGCCACAUUGGGACUGAGACACGGCCCAAACUCCUACGGGAGGCAGCAGUAGGGAAUCUUCGGCAAUGGACGAAAGUCUGACCGAGCAACGCCGCGUGAGUGAAGAAGGUUUUCGGAUCGUAAAACUCUGUUGGUAGAGAAGAACGUUGGUGAGAGUGGAAAGCUCAUCAAGUGACGGUAACUACCCAGAAAGGGACGGCUAACUACGUG
This 497-nucleotide ribosomal RNA is filed under the name uncultured bacterium. Its description in RNAcentral is "partial 16S ribosomal RNA". It matches the Rfam family "Bacterial small subunit ribosomal RNA", at positions 28 to 507 of the family's 1533-position model. The record is from RNAcentral.